RNAcentral lists this long non-coding RNA (978 nucleotides) under Oreochromis niloticus (Nile tilapia). RNAcentral's name for it is "lncRNA (ENSONIG00000034829.1)". Lineage: Eukaryota; Metazoa; Chordata; Actinopteri; Cichliformes; Cichlidae. The record is from RNAcentral.
AAAUGUUGAUGGCAGCUGCACAUUUGGCCAUGAGUGGUGUCACAACUGCCAAAGCCUCAUUCAUGAUUUUGACUCUGCUGUGUCUGGUCGAUUUUUCAAGUUCAGUGAUAAACAGGGAUCAACUGGAGGUACUGAAAGCAAACAUUCAAAGAUUACAACAAGAAACAAUGAGAAGGAAGGCUGAAAAUAAUUUGGACAGAGCCUACAUUCCAGCUAUUUUUGAUGAUAUUAAACAUCUCAUGAAUCCUAUGUCCGAAUUUUUGAAGUCAUUGAAUCUUCCUACAUCGCUGUUUAUACCAAUACUGGAUUUAAUGGAUGACACAGAAACCUUUCUGGAAGCCAGCAAGAAGUACAUAAAUAAGUACUUGGAGUCAACAGCUGCAGUAUUCAAGGACAAUGAACAGAAGCUAAGCAGUGUGAUGGCAAUAUUAACACAACUAGAAAAGCAUAAAGAUGAAUUGUAACAUAUUAGUCAUCGUCUGUCUCUAGUAUUACAUGUUCUGUAUUUGUAAAACUUCUCUUUCAUACUGUGCAUGGUUAGAGCCAAGAAAUAAUUUUGUCAUAUUAUCUUUUCAUUGUCUUUGUUAUAAUUGAGUUCAAAUGCAAACACGAAACACUGAACUGAGAUUAUAUCUAAGUAACCUUAAUAACACUGACAAUUGUUAAUGAUUUAAAUGAUGAAAGCCUUUUAAUGUGAAUAAAGACAUUAAUACUGUUAUUAUUUCAUGUUUUUUUGCAUUGUGAUGUUCGUGAGAAAAGAGAAAAGAGCAAACACUAGAGGCUGAUCGUUCUCUAGUGUUUGCUCACUGCCCAAAAUGUAAAUUCUUUAAGCCACAAAAUGCAGAACACCUAUCAGCCAAUCCUCUGAUGUAGGCCGUCUGUGUGUGUAUGUGUGUGUGUGUACUGUUAUUCCACACUAUAGACUAGAUGUUUUAUACUGGUGUUAAAGGGAGAGUUUAGUCCUACACUCAAUCACAU